Molecule: non-coding RNA, 1900 nt
Organism: Paramuricea clavata
Lineage: Eukaryota; Metazoa; Cnidaria; Anthozoa; Malacalcyonacea; Plexauridae
Source: the annotation of a GenBank genome assembly
AAUGGCGAGGGAGUGAAGCGAUUCUAGUUUCAUAUUUAUUCCUAAUAUUCUUAGAAUAAAUAUGAAACUAGUUUUUCAUAUCGCUGAGGAUGAUUCUGCAAUUGAUGGGAUUCUAUUUGUCUUCAAUUUAAAAACAAGAAAGAAGAGGAUCAUCAUUGUCAAUUUUUUAAUCAGGCAAGUAUAUUGUAUAAUAUGUACAUAAUUUUAAAACUUUAUAUAUUAAACAUUUAAAAAUAUAUAACAAGUUCGACUGCACGUCGUGUCCGAUUGUUCAGAAAUUUCUAUUGAUAAUAUUAUUUAAAUAAGGCAAAACCUCAUAUUUAUUAAAAUUUUACGAACUGAUUGAAACAUACGAAAUAUUUACAUGUUUUUCAAUGACUAAAAUCAUUGGUUUCGAAACAAAGUGAGCUUAUUUAGCUGAUGCCUCUGACUUGGAACUCCUUCUCUUACAACUUUUUCAUUAAACCUUUUACCAUACGUAAACAAUCUUAAUUUUAAGAAUUGAUCGGCAAUACAUUUAACUAGUUAGAGUUUGUGAUUGUCAAAUAGUGUCUCAUUGAUGCAGCUAUCAUGACUUUCUUCAUUGCUCAUGGGAACUUUGUCAGCAAAGUAAUGGCUAACUUCUUUAACCAUUUUCUCUUUCAGCUUCUUCUGUUGGGUUAUACUGUCAUUGGUGUUCUUCGAAACAUAGCAUUUGAAAACUUUAUCUGCAUAUGACACAACUUUGACUGUGAAGUCGGAUGGAACCAGGCGCGGAUCCAGUGGUUUUGUUGACUGAUGCACUAAACGUCGCAUUUGUAGGGGGGUCCGGGGGAAUCCUCCCCCGGGAAAUUUUGAAAUCUAGGACCUCGGAAAUGCGAUUUCCUGCGUUCUGAGGGAGCUUUUCUUCGAAGUUCACACAUCUAAAUCGAAACGUAAUUUGCUGGAUUUUCGGGGAAAAAACGUAAAAAAUCGGCCUUAUAGAGUGAGAACAACAUAAUCAUGUGAGUUUAAAAUAAAUUGAAAACAUUUUUACGCGGAGUUUUAUCAGAUCGAAACUUGGCUAGCCUUAUUUAUUUGAUCCUAUUUGAGUGAGGAUUAUAGAGUAGCAAAGUUGUAGCUAUAAUUUACAAUUUUACAAACAAGUGUACACUACUUACAUGUACACAACGUACUGAUAGAAUAAUUGAAAGCAAAAAACCACAGACAUUUUUUCUGUGUAAAAUAUGGUGCAAAUGACAUGAAAAGCUGAUCAGGGUUGUGUUUCUUAUGCAAAAUAGAUAAGAAUACUUCAAGCAAACUAUUAUAUUAAUUGCCAAUGAUAUCACUUCCUGUAACUUAUCACUUCCUGUUACCAGUUAACACCAAUCAAUAACAAUGUUCCAGGUCAAAUGCCUUCCAGCAGCACCACCAUGACAUAAAUUCCAGUUAAAUUAUUUUAAUAAUCCAGAAUUAAUUCCAGGGCAACUUUGAGUUACUGUAAAUGAAGGCCCUCUCUGGAGCUAGUCACUCUAAUAUUUAUGGAUGCAUUUAUAUCCAACAUUUUGACAAAUGCAGUUUGAAUUUUUAAAUACUGUAAGAUUAUCAAAGUAUUCAAGGGUGCUACUGUAAGUAAUAGUUUUCAUUGUUGCUGAGCAGUUAAUAAUAAAAACAAACAAUUAUUGAAACUAUUUGCAGAAAAUAGAUUAUUCUACUGUAUUUGAAGUCUUGAUAGAUCUACAAUACAUUGACCAAUAUAUCUCCACAGAUUUUGCAUUGAAUCCCAAAUUACAGUACAUUCAGGAGAGUGUCUAGGACUACUGUAUGUAUCCAAAACUGCUGUUUCAAGAUAUUAAGGAUAGACAGGGAGAAGUGCAGUUAUGGACUUGGUAGGUAUCUGAUUGCAUGAGCAGGAUUGACAAGCUUCAGUAACAGUGGCAGU